UCCAGACUCCUACGGGAGGCAGCAGUCGGGAAUAUUGCGCAAUGGAGGAAACUCUGACGCAGUGACGCCGCGUAUAGGAAGAAGGUUUUCGGAUUGUAAACUAUUGUCGUUAGGGAAGAGAAAGGACAGUACCUAAGGAGGAAGCUCCGGCUAACUACGUGCCAGCAGCCGCGGUAAUACGUAGGGAGCAAGCGUUAUCCGGAAUUAUUGGGUGUAAAGGGUGCGUAGACGGGAAAACAAGUUAGUUGUGAAAUCCCUCGGCUUAACUGAGGAACUGCAACUAAAACUAUUUUUCUUGAGUGCAGGAGAGGUAAGUGGAAUUCCUAGUGUAGCGGUGAAAUGCGUAGAUAUCAGGAGGAACACCGGUGGCGAAGGCGGCCUGCUGGACUGCGACUGACGUUGAGGCCCGAAAGCGUGGGGAGCAAACAGGAUUAGAUACCCCAGUAA
This 447-nucleotide ribosomal RNA is filed under the name uncultured bacterium. Its description in RNAcentral is "partial 16S ribosomal RNA". It matches the Rfam family "Bacterial small subunit ribosomal RNA", at positions 330 to 793 of the family's 1533-position model. The record is from RNAcentral.